GGUAGUAAUGCCUAGGAAUCUGCCUGGUAGUGGGGGACAACGUUUCGAAAGGAACGCUAAUACCGCAUACGUCCUACGGGAGAAAGCAGGGACCUUCGGGCCUUGCGCUAUCAGAUGAGCCUAGGUCGGAUUAGCUAGUUGGUGAGGUAAUGGCUCACCAAGGCGACGAUCCGUAACUGGUCUGAGAGGAUGAUCAGUCACACUGGAACUGAGACACGGUCCAGACUCCUACGGGAGGCAGCAGUG
Molecule: ribosomal RNA, 246 nt
Filed under: uncultured Pseudomonas sp.
Lineage: Bacteria; Pseudomonadati; Pseudomonadota; Gammaproteobacteria; Pseudomonadales; Pseudomonadaceae
Description: partial 16S ribosomal RNA
Rfam family: Bacterial small subunit ribosomal RNA
Source: RNAcentral